This 253-nucleotide ribosomal RNA is filed under the name uncultured bacterium. Its description in RNAcentral is "partial 16S ribosomal RNA". It matches the Rfam family "Bacterial small subunit ribosomal RNA", at positions 524 to 776 of the family's 1533-position model. The record is from RNAcentral.
UACGAAGGGGGCUAGCGUUGUUCGGAAUUACUGGGCGUAAAGCGCGCGCAGGCGGUUUCUCAAGUCAGUGGUGAAAGCCCGGAGCUCAACUCCGGAACUGCCAUUGAAACUGUGAGACUUGAGGACGAGAGAGGUGAGUGGAAUUCCCAGUGUAGAGGUGAAAUUCGUAGAUAUUGGGAAGAACACCGGUGGCGAAGGCGGCCAUCUGGACCGUUUCUGACGCUGAGGCGCGAAAGCGUGGGGAGCGAUCCGG